AGAAAGGAGAAAGAAUGUUGCAAUAAUUAUUACAAAGAAAGCGAAAUGUGCAAAGCUUGUCCUAGUGGAUGGUUUGGCAAGAAUUGCACAGAGAAGUGUCCGAAAAAUAAAUAUGGACAGCUUUGCCUUGAAAUAUGUGACUGCACAUCUGAUGAAAGGUGUAAUCCUGAACGUGGAUGUGUCUCGAAAGAAGGUGUUGGUGUGUGCUCUGAGGAUGAUGGGUAAAGUUUUACGUUUUUUCAAAGUAAAUUAUUAAAUGUAACAAAUCGUUUGA
Molecule: long non-coding RNA, 274 nt
Organism: Saccostrea cuccullata (small rock oyster)
Lineage: Eukaryota; Metazoa; Mollusca; Bivalvia; Ostreida; Ostreidae
Exons: 3
Source: RefSeq, a predicted model, not a curated record